UGGGGAAUCUUCCGCAAUGGGUGAAAGCCUGACGGAGCAACGCCGCGUGAGGGACGAAGGCCUCUGGGCUGUAAACCUCUUUUCUCAAGGAAGAAGAUAUGACGGUACUUGAGGAAUAAGCCACGGCUAAUUCCGUGCCAGCAGCCGCGGUAAUACGGGAGUGGCAAGCGUUAUCCGGAAUUAUUGGGCGUAAAGCGUCCGCAGGCGGCUUUUCAAGUCUGCUGUUAAAGCGUGGAGCUUAACUCCAUCAUGGCAGUGGAAACUGAAAGGCUUGAGUAUGGUAGGGGCAGAGGGAAUUCCCGGUGUAGCGGUGAAAUGCGUAGAUAUCGGGAAGAACACCGGUGGCGAAAGCGCUCUACUGGACCAUUACUGACACUCAGAGGCGAAAGCUAGGGUAGCAAAAGGGAUUAGAUACCCCUGUAGUCA
This 426-nucleotide ribosomal RNA is filed under the name uncultured cyanobacterium. RNAcentral's name for it is "bacterial SSU rRNA". It matches the Rfam family "Bacterial small subunit ribosomal RNA", at positions 355 to 796 of the family's 1533-position model. Lineage: Bacteria; Bacillati; Cyanobacteriota. The record is from RNAcentral.